Molecule: long non-coding RNA, 488 nt
Organism: Apus apus (common swift)
Lineage: Eukaryota; Metazoa; Chordata; Aves; Apodiformes; Apodidae
Exons: 4
Source: RefSeq, a predicted model, not a curated record
AAUAUUGAUUUAGAAGAAGAGAAUACCUGUCUAAAAAGCGCAAGUUUUGAUGAGCUCUGAUUUGGUUUUGAUCCUGAUGCUGUGAAGCAGUUCUGGCAGUAGAAGAGCAGGUUUGCUUGAUGCUGUUCCUGUAGUUCUUUUGCUGUGACUUCUCGAGAUACUAAGGUCACAUACAAGAAGAGAGUUGUAACCCUGGGGAGACACAGGGACUGCUCCCCAGAAUCAUGCAAGUGAAUGGUCUUGACACCACACGGAGAAAGAGGAAUCUGCACAACUCACCCUGUCCUUCAGGUUCAUGUCUGCUUUCAAAGUAAAUAGUCUUCCUGCUUGUCAGUCUUCAGACAGGUAAUCUUUCCAGGUUUUCGGCAGAAAAAGUCUCCCUUUCCCAUGCAAUCUGUAACCAACGAGCUGCUUUGAACAGGGAAGAGAAGCAGUACAUAUUGCGGCAUUUGGACUCAGGCAUUCCUUUGAGGAUCUAGCCCAGACUU